Neofelis nebulosa (Clouded leopard) is the source of this 873-nucleotide long non-coding RNA. RefSeq lists it as uncharacterized. NCBI's taxonomy places the organism in Eukaryota, Metazoa, Chordata, Mammalia, Carnivora, Felidae. The record is from RefSeq and is a predicted model, not a curated record. The transcript has 3 exons.
CACUGGAGGGCUGGGCCCCAGGGAUGUUCCUGGGAGCGGCUCACAGGCCCCAGCCUGCAGCCUCAGGCCCCUGGGCAGGGGUGUGCGCAUGCUCGUGAUGACGCCUGCGGGAAGAAGGGACCUGGAUUACAUUCAUACAUUCGACAGAUAUUAUGUGCUGGUCCUGCUGUAGGCCCUGAACAGUUGUGAGCAAGGAGUACAUACAGUAGAGUCACACAGACAGAAAUAAAACAGACAACAGACACGUAAAAAGCUUUCUCUAUCAGGAGAGAAGAAAAGGUAAACGAGUAAUUGAAAAUUUGAAAAACAAACAUUAAUGAAACUAACCAGAAAGAUGCCAUAAGAUGGAAUGGGAGUUGUUGGCUUCCACAUUGUGAGAAAAGGAUGGUGAUUGCUCUGAAAACCAGGACAUUUGGCUCAAGAGCCAACAAUUGCUUAAACUAAAAAGAAGAGAAAAGAGAAACAAAGGGACCAUCGGAAGUAGCAGAGUGUAGUAUAAGUACCUGGCAUUAAACUUUUAAUUGCAUCCAACUCAAAUGACAUCCAUCUUGAAUAAACAUAUAGCUAGCUGUAUGAUAAAGCUACUAGCAAAACAACCAUCUAAGGAAUGGGCCUGCCCCCACCCAUGAAGUUCCCUCCUUCAGAAAGCCCUGGGUGACCUACAGAACUGACCACCCAAGUGACCCCACUUCCCCCUUCCUGUGCCCUAAGUCCCACUCUUAUGCUUUAAACUAGCCAAUAGAGAACCCCUGGGUGGCUCAGUCAGUUGAGCAUCAGACUCUUGAUUUUGGCUCAAGUCAUGAUCCCAGGAUGGUGAGACUGAGCACGGCUCAGUGCAGGGCUGGAGCCUGCUUAAGAUUCUCUCUCUCUCUU